Molecule: ribosomal RNA, 458 nt
Filed under: uncultured bacterium
Lineage: Bacteria
Description: partial 16S ribosomal RNA
Rfam family: Bacterial small subunit ribosomal RNA
Source: RNAcentral
CCUACGGGGGACAGCAGUGAGGAAUAUUGGUCAAUGGGCGAGAGCCUGAACCAGCCAAGUCGCGUGAGGGAGUACUGCCCUAUGGGUUGUAAACCUCUUUUGUCGGGGAGCAAAAGCCGGACGUGUCCGGCUGUGAGAGUUCCCGAAGAAAAAGCAUCGGCUAACUCCGUGCCAGCAGCCGCGGUAAUAAGGGGGAUGCGAGCGUUAUCCGGAUUUAUUGGGUUUAAAGGGUGCGCAGGCGGAUUUUUAAGUCAGCGGUAAAAUCGUGGGGCUCAACCCCAUCCAGCCGUUGAAACUGGGGAUCUAGAGUGUGCGAGAGGUAUGCGGAAUGCGUGGUGUAGCGGUGAAAUGCAUAGAUAUCACGCAGAACCCCGAUUGCGAAGGCAGCAUACCGGUGCACAACUGACGCUCAGGCACGAAAGCGUGGGUAUCGAACAGGAUUAGAUACCCCAGUAGUC